GCACUGGGGAACUGGGAGAGAUCCUGGGCGGGUGUCCUGCUUCGGAACAGAAGCAGGUGUGCCGGCCUUAGGCAUUCUCAUCCUCAGCUGACAACUCUUCUCUGAUCGGGCUCCACGAGACCCAACGUUUUGAACAACAGUGUCUGAGUCAGUCAUGCAGCUUGUCACAGGACGUCAGUGUUCCAAGAAAGCAGUAGGUACAUUGGGUGCAAUGUCACUUACGUGUCAGGACUGGAGGUAAGACUUCCUUUUUUUUUUUUUUUUUAAAGAUUUUAUUUAUGUAUUUGACAGACAGAGAUCACAAGUAGGCAGAGAUGCAGGCAGAGAGAGAGAGAGAGGAGGAAGCAGACUCCUCGCUGAGCAGAGAGCCGGAUGCGAGGCUCGAUCCCAGGACCCUGAGAUCAUGACCCGAGCUGAAGGUAGAGGCUCAACCCACUGAGCCACCCAGGUGCCCCAAGACCCAACGUUUUGAACAACAGCGUCUGAGUCAGUCAUGCAGCUUGUCACAGGACGUCAGUUCCGAGAAAGCAGCAGGUACAUUGGGCGCAAUGUCACUUACAUAUCAGGACUGGAGGACUUUCAGGACUACGUUGGAAUAGGAGUCUCCGUGUCUCAUUCAUGAUUUUAGAAGACUGGAUUUCCUAUUUUUAAGAACUCCAUGGACCUCACUGUCUUCUAUUUAGGCACCAGUCCUAUUCUUUACUCAUCUACCAUCCCCAGCUUCACUGAUAUGUACAAUAUCCUAUGAGGUGCUAUAUAAUAUUUGUUUAAUUCUUAAUUCUCUUUAGGCAAAUUGAGUUCCUUGGGGUUCUUUGGCACUCAAACUAAAAUCUUGUUUCUGUACUGUGUCAAUCACAUAAUGUCUUGGGUACUUCCCACUUAAGUGGUUGUUAUUUUUCUUGAUUUAUAUAUUAAUGUAAUUAUCAACCCAUCUGUGCCUCAGUUUCUGCUAUGUACUUCUCUUAAAUCUUUUAGUAGACAUGUGAUUCUUUCUUCACUCACUAGCUCCCAAACCCC
RNAcentral lists this long non-coding RNA (1017 nucleotides) under Mustela putorius furo (domestic ferret). RNAcentral's name for it is "lncRNA (ENSMPUG00000025775.1)". The record is from RNAcentral. Lineage: Eukaryota; Metazoa; Chordata; Mammalia; Carnivora; Mustelidae.